UCGAAAAGCAGGCAUAGGAACGGGGUGGUUUUUAGUCAAUUAAAGUCUGACACUACACGGAAGAGUUAUAGGACAAUUUUCCCCGCUAAAAAAGCCAUACUCGUAGCUUUCCAAUAUUAAGAAAAAAAUUAAAAGUGCUUUGACCGAAAAUAACUUUUGAUGCACACAUGUGAUCUAUGAGGACUUUGUUGUGGAUCUGCCCUAUUUUUUAUUAUUAUGCCUCUCCAUGGAAUAGAGCAAAUUAGGUGAAGUGGCAUCCAACAAAAUGACUAGCGGAACCAGUGUCGCCAAAGGCACACAAAUGAAAUGCUAAUUAUAUCGUGUCGAAUAUCUUAGCCUUAGUUUGAAAAUAAAAGUUUAUUUUGUGUUGAAAAAUGAACAGAGUGAUAAAAAUAAAGCAAUCUCAUGCUUUUUAUCCCCAAAGGGGUAGGCAGUGGUGCACAUUACGGCACGUAAUGCCGCUAUACAAUGUACACCCACUUCACCAUUUGUGUUAUAAGUCCCAUGUAAUAGGGGAUGAGCCUAUUGCCAUAUACUGGACAUAAUUCCAUACUCCGUGCUUCUACUGAGAAAAUCCCAGUAAUACUUUGCCCGACCCGGGAAUCGAACCCGAGACCCCUUGUUCGGCAGUUGCACUUGCGACCACUCGACCAACGAGGCAAUCAAACAUAAUAAUUUUAUCAAAAAUAUAAACAAAGAAUAUUAUGUUUUAAUUAGAUAAGAUAUAUUAUGUACUGUAAACAUUAAUUUUUUCUUAGUUUGGUAUGUUGUAGUGAUAAGUUGAUUAAUCACUACUAGUGGUCGCCUAGUGGUUGAAAUUCAACCAUAAACUAUAUAAUUUACAAUACCACUUAACAUACGUUCAAGGAUAAUUUUUAUUUAACUCAAACUCAAACAAACUCUUUUCAUAUGAGACGUGAGAAUAUCAUCGCAAUGUCUAUUGAUUUUGACGUUUUGUCAUAUACGAUCAGAUACUAUGCAUGUGUGUGUAAUGUUUUAUUUAUUGAUUUAAUGUACUUUAUAAGCAUUAUUUUUUUUAAAUAUUAGCGUUCUGCACUUCUCCUACACAUAAACUAUAAGUGUACCAAAUUUUAUGCUCCUACGUCCGCGCAAUUUUCGUAAAAAGAUGUAUAAAGUUUUUGCAUCACGUAUUAAUAUAUAGAUACUCACUAAAAAUGCAAUAACAGAGUGCUUUUCCAUCGGAGAUGUGCUAUGCUAUCCGGUUAGCUUCCACCAAUCAUAUUCAUUGGUACACUUAGCUUAGCACUGGUGCAAACGAACUCAGUUAAGCUAUGUUUCUUAUAAUGAAAGAUGUGCUAUGACUACUAAUGAUGCAUGCUAUGCAUACUAUGGAUGGCUUCCCUACUAUCCAUACAUCGCAUACUCGAGCUGCGCAUCUUUCUCGCACAGCUACUUUGCGGCGGCACAGCCACAUAGCACACCUUACUCGCACAGCUUAGCAUCGGUGGAAACGGUUACAUAGUUUCACAGCUUAGUUAUUACAUCUUCGUAGCAUAGCUAUGUACAUAGGCCAUCUCUGGUGGAAAAGCACCGAAUUAUUUAUCAAUGCGGAUGAAAUCGCGGGCAAAAGCUAGUUUUGAAUAAAGCGAUAACUAAAUAAAGAUAUUGCAUAAGUUUUUUGGUUCUGAGUUGUUCAUACGCAGUCAUUAAGCAUUUAAAACGUGAGUAUAAAUAGCGCGAGCUGCAGUGUGCCGGCAUCAUUCAGUGGUGCAGUACUUACUUACCGCGCGGCAGAGUCGACGAGUCCCGCACAAGAUGAAGUCGUGCACAAUAUUGUUCCUGCUCAUUGUCGCACUCUGUGCUUGCGGUGCUUUAGGAGCACAGAUUUACAUUGUAGAUUCGCGUUGUCGUGACAUGAUAGAAACAUGCUUUAAUAUAGGUGGUCAAGGAACAUGUGAAGUUGUUAGCGGUAAAUUGUCAUCGACUUGUGUGCUGGCGCAAGCUGCGAGUUUGAUAGAGGACAGUUAUUAUGGAAAUGAACAAUAGAACCAACUGAAUCAAGCACGACUCGGAAAUCGAACCAAAAUUAUUGAAACUCACAAAUCGACUUCAAGCACUGACAAGUAGCUAAUUUUACAAGUUUCAAAGUCAACUUCUUCAUCGUCAUCACAUCGAGCACAAGCCGUCCACUGCUGAACAUACGCCUCCCCCAAUGGCUCGAGCGGUCGGUUGGAAGCGGCCUGCAUCCAGCGGCUCCCUGCGACUGCGUCAGGUUUUAAUCUUGCUUACACGCCCAGUAAACGUGUUACUGUAACGUUAUCAAUAAACAUUAACCAGCUGC
Molecule: long non-coding RNA, 2302 nt
Organism: Spodoptera frugiperda (fall armyworm)
Lineage: Eukaryota; Metazoa; Arthropoda; Insecta; Lepidoptera; Noctuidae
Exons: 2
Source: RefSeq, a predicted model, not a curated record